This 89-nucleotide small RNA is filed under the name Arabidopsis thaliana (thale cress). RNAcentral describes it as "ATSL051320". Lineage: Eukaryota; Viridiplantae; Streptophyta; Magnoliopsida; Brassicales; Brassicaceae. The record is from RNAcentral.
CUUCUUACCAUUUCUCCUCUCUCUUCUUCUUCUUCGUUCGCCUUCCUUAACCUAGGAAUCCGACCACCUUUGCUUGUCCCUAAAAGCUC